Molecule: ribosomal RNA, 468 nt
Filed under: uncultured bacterium
Lineage: Bacteria
Description: partial 16S ribosomal RNA
Rfam family: Bacterial small subunit ribosomal RNA
Source: RNAcentral
GAUGAACGCUGGCGGCGUGCUUAACACAUGCAAGUCGAACGGAAAGGCCCAAGCUUGCUUGGGUACUCGAGUGGCGAACGGGUGAGUAACACGUGGGGGAUCUGCCCUGCACUUCGGGAUAAGCCUGGGAAACUGGGUCUAAUACCGGAUAGGACGAUGGUUUGGAUGCCAUUGUGGAAAGUUUUUUCGGUGUGGGAUGAGCUCGCGGCCUAUCAGCUUGUUGGUGGGGUAAUGGCCUACCAAGGCGUUGACGGGUAGCCGGCCUGAGAGGGUGUACGGCCACAUUGGGACUGAGAUACGGCCCAGACUCCUACGGGAGGCAGCAGUGGGGAAUAUUGCACAAUGGGCGCAAGCCUGAUGCAGCGACGCCGCGUGGGGGAUGACGGCCUUCGGGUUGUAAACUCCUUUCGCUAGGGACGAAGCGUUUUUGUGACGGUACCUGGAGAAGAAGCACCGGCUAACUACGUG